GCAUAACGCGAAGAACCUUACCAAGGCUUGACAUACACCAGAACACCCUGGAAACAGGGGACUCUUUGGACACUGGUGAACAGGUGGUGCAUGGUUGUCGUCAGCUCGUGUCGUGAGAUGUUGGGUUAAGUCCCGCAACGAGCGCAACCCUCGUUCUAUGUUGCCAGCACGUAAUGGUGGGAACUCAUGGGAUACUGCCGGGGUCAACUCGGAGGAAGGUGGGGAUGACGUCAAAUCAUCAUGCCCCUUAUGUCUUGGGCUUCACGCAUGCUACAAUGGCCGGUACAAUGGGCUGCGAUACCGUAAGGUGGAGCGAAUACCCAAAAAGCCCGGUCCCAGUUCGGAUUGAGGUCUGCAACUCGACCUCAUGAAGUCGGAGUCGCUAGUAAUCGCAGAUCAGCAACGCUGCGGUGAAUACGUUCCCGGGUCUU
This 431-nucleotide ribosomal RNA is filed under the name uncultured bacterium. Its description in RNAcentral is "bacterial SSU rRNA". It matches the Rfam family "Bacterial small subunit ribosomal RNA", at positions 954 to 1382 of the family's 1533-position model. The record is from RNAcentral.